Monodelphis domestica (gray short-tailed opossum) is the source of this 93-nucleotide microRNA precursor. Ensembl annotates it as mdo-mir-124a-2. Its record names the gene mdo-mir-124a-2. NCBI's taxonomy places the organism in Eukaryota, Metazoa, Chordata, Mammalia, Didelphimorphia, Didelphidae. The record is from Ensembl.
AUCAGAGACUCUGUCUCUCCGUGUUCACAGCGGACCUUGAUUUAAUGUCAUACAAUUAAGGCACGCGGUGAAUGCCAAGAGCGGAGCCUGAAA